UAUAUAUAUAUAUAUAUGAAUUAGAAAAUUACAAAAUUACCCCACAGUUUUGAAGGACUGAUGAAUGUGUCUGAGCGUCUCCUCAUCCCUCUUCCACUCCGGAGCAGGAGCAUUAACAAAGUGCGCAUAUAGCUUAUUCUUCGCACAGGUAACGGCUAUCAGACUAUGCUUUCCGAUCCCGUCAAUUUCAUACACAUAAUAUACCUGACCUGUUUCCUCGUCUUUCUUCUCCUCCGACACCAGGCUGUCCGCUCCCGCAAUCAGAUCCUGCAAUUCUACAUCCGACAGCGCCAAAUUGUUCAGCACCAUGUCUUUCGGAGCCAAUUGUCUGAAUCCUGCUAAAAACGUCAGGUACUCCUUCUCCGUCCUCUUUUUCGGAUUGUAGAACUCGCUAUCCGUCCCGUUCGUUCCUUUCUCCACUUUCGACACCAGCCGCUCCUUCCAUCCCUCCGGCACAUCGUACACGUAUUCGGCCGAGGCUUUCUUGUCGGAAUUUCCGCCGUAUCCCCCGUAGUUAGCGGCGCUGGCGGCGGUUCCGUAGUAGAUCCGGUAGGGGCUGUCUGGUGCUGCGAGAGAGGACAGGGAGGUUGUGAAGAUGGAGGUGGUGGCUAUGACUGCCGUGAGGGUUAUAGGUAGUGUUGGCUUAGAGAAGAGUUGUUGAGGUUUUGGUUGGGUGUUAAUGGCAGUGAUUGUUGUGGAAGAGGAGGAGAAGACGACGGAGGGUUGAUAGCAGAGGGUCGCCAUGAAAGAUUCGAUCUCUGUGUGUGUGUGGUUUGUGUUUCUAUAUCAACCAUAUCCAGUGAAGAUUUAUUGUUACGUGCUGGGACCACAAUAUGAAAUAUAUAAACAAAAAUCUGUUACUUUUUAAAAUUGGAAAAAUUAACUUUUUAAUUUACAGACAUUUAAGGAAUAUAUAUAUAUAUAUAUAUAAACUUUCCAUUUUAAAUAAAAAAUUAAUGAUAGCUCUUUAGUUUACAAACUGUAUAUAAUUUUCUUCAUAAACUUUGAUAUUAAAUUUAUUUAAUUUUCUUUUACAUAAUAAAAACUAACAUAAUAAUAAAGUUAUAAGAACAAAAAUUUAACUAAAUAUAUAAAAAUUAUUAAAUUAAGUGAUUAAUCAUUAUAUGGUUAUAGUGUGAGCAUAGAAUUGACAAAACCAUUGGGUUAAAUACUUCUACUAUUUGAAAAUGUACCCUCUCUCUGCUAUAUAUUUUCAGUGAUUGUAUAUACACACACACACAUAUAUAAUUGGAAAUAUACAGUUGUGGAGAAAGGAAGAUGCUUUUGAGGUCACACUAUCAUAAAAAAAUUUAGAAUUUGAAGUAUACCAUAUACCAGAAUCUAAAGUUGAAAUAUAUUCUUACAACUAAUUUUCAAUACACAAAUUCCUUCAUAAUUAUGUUCAUUGAAAAUAUAAACUAUACAGAUAUGUACCUCAGUGCCUUGGCUUUGGGUGGCUAGUAAUUCCACUGUACUAAGCUGGGUUAAAGUCUUACACUCUUUGCAAACUUUUGUCUCAUCUUUUUGAGAGUGGCUAAGACAGCCCUCAUAUUUCCUCUAUCAUUAGCUGACUCUGCUGAGCAGUUCAAGGCUAAUCUCAAAACAGAUGAUAUACACUCCAUUGUUGCCUCCAAAUGCUUGUCAUUAUCUACCUUCAACAGAGUGUGUUAUCCACAACAUUUUCCCAAAUAUCCUCACUAAAAAAUGACUCUUCCACCCAUCUCCUUAGGCUUACUUCUCCUGCAAACAUUUCAUCUGUAGGCUUCUUUCUUGUGAAUGUCUCCAGCACCAGAAUCCCAAAACUAUAUAUAUCUCCUUUUGUUGACACAGUUCCCAUUAAUCCGUAUUCUAAAUUCACAUAAUUUUAGGCAUUAGGUUUAGAUAAACCAUAUUAUUUAGAAAUUAAAAGGGAAAUUCUUGCUUAUAUAAAUCAUGAAAUUAAACUAUUUUCUUAUUACCUAAUUAUCUUUUGGUUUUGAUAAAUUGUUACUUAGGCAAAUUAUUCAGCAUCAAGAGUACUAUGUUGUAAUAUUCUUUCUUAGCUGCUAUGAUAUGGUUUUUCCCCUAUUACUCAUAUAUCCUGUCUUCUUUUAAAUGAAUUAUAACCUAUCAUAUAUGUUUUCUCAAAAAAAUAAAAAAAGAGAUAUAUCAUAUAUGAUUUUGUACAAAUUUAUGUUUGUGUGAAUGCAUGUGUGUGUUUAUGUUAAGACAAAUUUUUCUCAUAUUAUAUAAUGUAAUUUAGGCUUUGUAAUUCUUUGGCUUACUUAAUCUCACAUAUUACUAAUAUAUUUUGAUAUUGCAUGGAAGAAAAAGAGGACUAUAUAGCAUUUUUUUUAGAGGGGGUUGGGGGGUUGAAAGCUCCCUUUCCCCUCCUUCCUAUGCCACUAAUUAUUCAUCCAUUCAGCAUUUAUACAAGAAGCUUAUCAUUACUUUAUCUAUGGUUGAGGGUGGAUUUGCUUUUCAAGGAUUUUGAAAAAACAUUUGAUUCAGUUGAUUACUUGUAAGCUGCUGGAUCUGUAUGUUAUUUUAAUUGUAUCCUUUUGGAGUUUGUUGGUGUCACGAAGCCUUUGAAGGUGUUGUAGGGGAAGGGUGAAAAAAGGAAUUCAUGUACAAGGAUGAAAUAUGAAAAACACACGCAAGAAUGUGAAAAUGUUAUUUCAUCCUUAGAAAAUCUGGAAGAUGUGGUUAGGGUUUUCGGUAGGUAGUUUUGCCGACCGCUAUAACAAAUCCUUUGCAUGGGUUGCAACGGAUGUGCACCCGAUCUGUAAUAGGCUGCCGUACCUAAAAAUGCAUUCGACCCUCGAGUAUGCAUAUAAAUAGACUGAUUUCAGUGGAGAAUGCAUUGAAGAAUCUAUGAGUUAAUACAAAAUGGUGUAGGGAGUAAACCAGUUGAAAAAAUAAUGGACCAAAUUAGACCCAAUUCAUGGGUUAAUGCGAACUGGUUUUUAACCCUUAAAUGUGAACCAGUCCAGUUCGCACCAACCUGGUCAGCUUGCCCAAAGUGGAAAUUCCAUUAUUUGAAGGUAUAAAUCCCGGCGCUUGGAUCCAGAGAUGCGACAAAUAUUUUUUGGUACACUGAACCCAAAAGGAAUAAAAAGCAGGGCUUGCAUUACUCUUCCUUGAUGAACUGGCGGAUGUUUAGUACUAAGGAUGGUUGGCGAAAAAUGAAAGCUUGAAUUGUAUGUAUGUUAAGAGUAAGGUAAAAAAUAGAGGUAGAAAUUAAGCAAGAAGAAAAUGAUAAGUGAAUCAAAUUGAAUGUAGAGAUGGUAUCAUUACCUGGAGCCAUAUACCCAAUAGUGGCAAGCGUCAAGGUGUGUCUCACAGACUCAUCAUCUCCUAAAAGUUGGGAAACACCGAAAUCAGCCACAUGUGCAACCAUAUUGUCAUCUAGGAGGACAUUGGUAGGCUUUAAAUCACAAUGGGCAAUUGGUGAUGGAAGAUUGUGAUGAAGAUAUUCCAGAGCUGAUGCAACAUCUAUUGUUAUGUCCAGUCUCUGUAGCAUGUUUAGAAAAUGGUUGUGAGAAUACAACCAGUUUUCAAGACUCUGAUUAGACAUGAACUCCAGCACUAAGGCCUUAAAAUCAUCAUUGGAGCAACUGCUAAUGAUUUUGACAAGAUUCCGAUGGCGGAUAUUACGCAUCAUAUGACUUUCAACUUCAAAACUUCUGAGAGCUUUCUCUAACGGCAACUUGAAAACCUUUAUUGCAACAUUUACCCCAUCUGCGAGUGUUCCCUUAUACACUGAACCAAAACUUCCUAUUCCGAGCAAGUUUCUUUCGCUGAAUCCGUUAGUAGCUCUUUUAAGUUCAAUAUAUGAAACUCUUCUCCAUGUUGCAAGGAGUGAGAAACUUUGUUUGUUCUGCUUGUUGGCCUGCUGUUUAUGCCUCCACCUAUAGAUGAUAAAGAUAACAGUUGCUAUUAAUAUUAUGUAUGCAAUGCCUGGAAAUAUGAACUGGAGUACAAGUGACAUGACCCUUUUGGAUCGAUCAAUAGCUGGCCUUUUGCAACACGGAACAAGUAGUUGCGGUGAACCGCAGAGAGCAUAAUUAUGCAGAAAUGAUUGAGCUGAAAAGUUUCUAAAAGGCCCUCCAGUAGGGAUUUCUCCUUCUAGCCUGUUGAAAGACAAGUUAAGCUGCUUGAGAUGGGAAAGCUUUUCCAAGGACUUGGGAAUAACUCCUGAAAGAUCGUUGUAAGAGAGAUCCAAGAAUUCCAGGCUUAUCAGAUUUCCAAAUGACUGGGGACUAUUUCCUUGUAAGCCAUUUUUUGCCAAGGAAAGAUGCAAAAGACCUUUUAGGCCUCCAACGCUUUCUGGAAGAUUACCGAAAAAUUGAUUACUUGAUAAGUCUAGUUUGGUCAAGACCUCCAGAUUUUCAGUAUCCAUAGGGAGAUUGCUAGUUAACGAAUUCAAAGACAGGUUUAUUUGCAACAUGUCAGUGAGUCUCCAUAAGGUAGAUGGUAUAGCAGAAGUUAGUUGAUUGGAGCUUAAGUCGAAAUCUCUAAGGGAAGAUAAGUUAUAUAAGCAUUCAGGCAAAGACCCGUGAAAGGCAUUACCAUUCAAGAUCAAAGCAUACAGACUCCCUAAGUGACACAGUUCAGGAGGAAUAGAUCCUUGUAAUAUGUUUUGAGGAAGAUACAAUGCUUGUAGAUUUUGUAGUCUGCCAAUUGUGGCUGGAAGGGCUCCAGUCAAUUCAUUGUUGUCAAGGCCUAAACCUAUCAGACUGCUUAAGUUACCAAUCUCUUUAGGCAUACCACCCUUAAUUCUGCAAUUUCUGGCAUUUAAAUGGUGAACAGAUGAAGAGAGAUUUCCAAUAGAGGUUGGAAGGGUGCCACUCAAGGGAUUAUAUGACAACUCAAUGACUCUUAACUGUCUGCAAUUUCCCAAGGAAUAGAGAAAGCUCCAAGGAGAGUCAGAAGAUUGUGCUGUCAAAUUAUUAUGGUGCAAGUUCAGUAUUCGGAGUGAUCUUAAGUUUCCAAGUGUAUCUGGUAUGUAGCCUGAGAAAAAGUUCGAGCCCAAUUCCAGGAGUACGAGUUGGGAAAGAUUGGAGAUAGAAGCUGGGAUCACUCCGUUAAGGUUAUUUCCCCACAGGUAAAGCUCCUCGAGGUUUGGAGCCGAAAGACCUAUGCUUGAUUCCAGAUGACCGAAGAGGUUGUUGUCUUCUAGUUCAAUAACUCUUAUGGUCGAGAUGUUGAAGAUGGUGGAUGGGAUUACACCAGUUAACUUGUUAAAAGCCAUAUUCAGAUACAUCAGAUUUUGCAGAUUGCCAAUGUCAACAGGUAUUUCACCUGCUAUGGGGGGAACAUUCAUAAAUAAUAUUAUAUGAUCAGUCUAAUAAUUCCUCAUAAAAAAUAACAUAUGCAGGACAAGUAAAGAUGAUAUAUAGAUAGAAACCAAACCUUGUAGGUUGUUAUAACCCAGAUAUACUUGUUGGAGCUUGGUCAAGUUUCCAAAACUUCUGGGUAAUCUCCCUGUGAAUCUAUUGAGUGACAGUGCCAACAGUUGAAGCUCCCUGCACUUAUCCAAGCUUGAAGGAAGCUGACCUUACAAUUCAUUAUCAGCAAAAGAAAGAUACUCAAGUUUAGGAAGAAGAUCACACAUUUGAUCUGGUAGAGUACCAGACAAGCUAUUGUCUUGCAAACUAAGCUUCUGCAGUGAGGAAAUAUUGAAGAUGGUCCAAGGAAUAGAUCCACAAAGGUUAUUUUAUGUCAAAUAAACUACUUUAAGGUUAGUAAGCUUACCAAUCUCACGAGGAAUGUUUCCACGAAUGAGAUUAAGACUCAGGUCCAAUACCUCCAACUUAGACAAGUUCAGCAGAUAAUACGGAAUUGUACCUGAUAGACUGUUAUUACAGAGGCUGAACUGACGCAAAUUUCGUAAAUUACCGAUUGAUGAUGGUAUUCCUCCAUUGAGGUGAUUGUCGGUCAAAUUGAUGAACUUCAAGUCCCACAAUUGAGUAAGCUCUUCUGGUACUGGGCCAUGAAAAUUGUUGGUGCUCAAGUUCAGGGAGACAAGGAAUGAGAGAUUACCUAGAUGGGGAGGGAUAGUGCCCGUCAGCCCCAUGUCUGAAAGGUCCAAAGCUGUGACUCUUCCAUGGCGGAGACUGCAGGAGACACCAAUCCAGUGGCAAACAGUGGCAGAGGUAGUCCAAUUGUAUAGCAAGAUGUUUUCACGGCUGAAGGUGAUGAAGGAUUUAAAUGCCAGAAGAGCUGAUUGAUCAAUACUCAAAUCUUUGAUUGCCAUUGCAGCUGUACAGAAGCAUAGCAACAACAAUAUUGAAACCAAAUGGAAACUCAUCUUCAUCUUCUUCAUGGGUGCUCUUUUAAUCUCCUUUGAAGUGGAACUAGACCAUCCUAAUGUUGACCCUUGCAUCUAUAUAUAUAUAUAUAUGCAUUGAAAAAGAGAGAUAGAGAUAUUGAAACAUUCUAUCUCUGUCAUUGGAUAUUGAAAAAAAAAAAAAACAAAACCAAUAAAUGGAUUAAACAUCUUUGCCUUUGAGAUUAAACGUUUGAAUGCUGAAUUGUGCUCUAGACAAAGGCAACAGACUAAAAAAAUCUUCAAAUAAAUAACAUUAUCCUCUUUAUUACUUAGUGUGUAAUCUUUUUCUAAGGAAAUUAAACAAGUGUCCUAUAAUGACAAUGAAAAUUAAACAUUUUCAUUUUAAAAGUAAGAAAUUAUAUUUUCUAUGGACAAAUAAAAAACAAAGCUGAAUAUGUUUCUAAUCCUAUAAUGAUAAUCUAAUUUUUGCAAACUUAAAACUGAGUGUAAAAUGGGUUGGAUGUGUUUAUUAUUAUUUUUUAAGAGAAAGUUAAGAGUUUAUUCAAUUAAACUACCAUCCAAUAAGUACCAUCAAUCAUCAGAAUAAUUCUCAACGUAAGUAUAAUUCCAUAAAUGUAAAGAAUAAUCCUCUUCGUUGGUUUGUGGCUGGUCGGAAGAAUUAAAGAAGAAUGAUGUUAUUGUAAUUUAAUAUUCUGGGGACGUUUAUUUCAAAAUCUAAUUGGUUUGUUUUCUACCAAAGAGUCAAAAUUACAGAGUAGAAUUAGAAACUACCCUUCUUCUUCUUCUUCUUCUUCAUGUAUCUUGAAGAGAAACAAAGGAGGAUAUCUGAAAUAACGAAGAACAGAUGACUAUAGUUUAUAGCUAGUUUAGCAAUAACAUAAAAGUUCUGUUCCAAAAUAGUUAGCACAUCUUUAUGUAGUUAAAUUAUUAUCAUACCUAAUGGUCGAUUUUUGCAUUCCAAUUUCCCACACUGCUGACUCCAAAGAAUUCUUACCGGUCCCUUCCUGAUUUCUCUCUCUCAAAAAAGCUUCUUGGUCUUCUCCUUUCUCCCCUCUCUUUUGGUGUUUCUCAACUCGGAAGAAAAAGAACGCCCUCAAGCGCUCAGCUCUUCCCCCAAUUUUACGGAAGUCUCCCUCCCCGGUUUAACAAAAACCUCUGUUUUCGCUCGCCAAAAGCCCAUAAAAUUUCCCUCUUAUCCCCUGAAAUUCUCUCCAUUUCCACCCACCAAAAACCCCAAAAGAUUCCCUCUCAGUUUUUCCUUUCUCCCCUCUGUUUCUCUCGUCUCCAGACCCUCCUUAGCUGCGUCUCUCUCCCUCUUUUUCUCUUCGGCCGAGCCCAGUCGAUUUCUCCAUUUUCCCUCAAAAUUUCAAUCGCUUCCCCUUUUAUAGUCAGAGGAGGACGCAAUACCUCGAAGUUCUCCUUGGGUCCAGUCAUUUUCAGUCUUUCAACCAACGGCUCCUUUGGGGUUGACUUCACCCUCCUCCCUCGAUCAACGCUUCAUCACCGAAAAAGAACGGGGUUUUUCGUCCUUGUCCUUGUGAUCUUUCCACUGUCUUCCCCUCUUUUAUGGCCAAAAUCAAACUCCCACUAGAUACCUCGAGUCAUUCCUCGAUCCGAGUCUGCGUCUCUAUCAUCUUCCGCUCAAAUUCCUCCAUUACCUUUUCUAAUUCAAGCUUAGAUCGAUUUUCUGUUUUUUCUAUUGUCCUUCUCUCGCUAUUCCUUUUACCUCGCUUCGUUUUGUACCACUCACAUUCUGCUAGAAUAAAUUUUCAUAAUAAUUAAUUAAUAUACGAUAAUAAAUAAUGAUAUAUGAAAAUAACGAAAUUUUUUUAUGUUUGAAGGAUUAUAUAUUAAUACAGUGUUAAGUUAGCCUAU
RNAcentral lists this long non-coding RNA (8149 nucleotides) under Carica papaya (papaya). RNAcentral's name for it is "long non-coding RNA (CPAP_LNC003438)". The record is from RNAcentral. Lineage: Eukaryota; Viridiplantae; Streptophyta; Magnoliopsida; Brassicales; Caricaceae.